ACGGAAGGCAGCAGUGGGGUAUAUUGCACAAUGGGGGGAACCCUGAUGCAGCGACGCCGCGUGAGCGAAGAAGAUCUUCGGAUUGUAAAGCUCUGUCUUAGGGGACGAUAAUGACGGUACCCUGAGAGGAAGCCACGGCUAACUACGUGCCAGCAGCCGCGGUAAUACGUAGGUGGCAAGCGUUGUCCGGAAUUACUGGGUGUAAAGGGAGCGCAGGCGGGUCGACAAGUUGGAAGUGAAAAUUACGGGCUUAACUCGUAAACUGCUUUCAAAACUGCCGAUCUUGAGUGGUGUGGAGGUAGGCGGAAUUCCCGGUGUAGCGGUGGAAUGCGUAGAUAUCGGGAGGAACACCAGUGGCGAAGGCGGCCUACUGGGCACUAACUGACGCUGAGGCUCGAAAGCAUGGGUAGCAAACAGGAUUAGAUACCCUGGUA
The sequence is a ribosomal RNA, 434 nucleotides long. It matches the Rfam family "Bacterial small subunit ribosomal RNA", at positions 341 to 792 of the family's 1533-position model.